This is a non-coding RNA of Myodes glareolus (Bank vole), 3612 nucleotides long. Lineage: Eukaryota; Metazoa; Chordata; Mammalia; Rodentia; Cricetidae. The record is from RefSeq and is a predicted model, not a curated record.
GGCAAAAAAAGAGUGUGCUUGUUCUUCACUCUCCCUCCUACUCCCUGUUUCAUUUCCACACAUGCAGCCACCCACCGGGACCGGAGGCGGCUGGUGUUCUCUGAACACCGGGAACUGGCUCUCUCCGUGGUCUCUUGUUUACUUCCCUCCUCCUCUCUCUUCCUCCUCUCGCCCAUCACCGGGCCUGCCUCCCUCCUGCCUGGAGCAGCUGGGAAACCUGCGGCGAAACACUGCAGUCAUGGGACUUCCCUGUGCCCAUGUGGCCCUAGUUUGCCCUGUCCUGCCCUGCGACCGCUUGGGGCGCGUCUUCGGAAGGACGGCCCUUGAGGCUCCUAAGCCAGCGGCUCUCUCCUUGGCUGUUGUCUCUUCUACCCUCAUCUGCUCUGCUCCCCCAUACCUCCCUGCGAAGGCAGGGCCUGGCAGCCUUUUUGGCCAGGCUUCUGGGCCACCCCCAUGAGCGGCCACCUGUCUGGAAAGAGGUGGUGUGACAGCUGACAGAUCCUAAGAACUCUACACCCAGGGAGCAAGAGAGCUGGCUUCUUCGCCACCACAGACUGUCCUGUUUAUGCCGGCUGCCCCAACUUUCCCUACUGGCCCCCGAAAACCUAUUCCCAGGGACACACCUCGAAAGAGGCAAACCCUUCCCUUUCAGGCUUGCUUCCCGGCAGGGAGGAAUUCAGCUUUUCCUUACAGUUAAGCUGAAUGAACAAAGGGCCCCAAAGAGGACAAGAGGUUCCAGCUCUGUGUGCUGCCUGCCUGAGGUUCACCCCAUUUUAAAAACCACCUCUUCACCACCCUCUGCUCACUGCCAUGGUUACCACAGCCCUGUCCUUGAGCGGCACUGGUUGUGUAAAGGCGGCGGCGAACAAGGGCAUUUUAUAUGUUCUUUUAAAUAUCCAAAACACUGGCUUGGUAUUUGGGAAGCAGAGAAACGGAAAUAAAAGGUCUGGCUGAUGCCUGUUUCCUUCUGACUUCAGGACCCUGAAUAAAUCCUUUACCCUGGAUGCCCCUUCGCUCCAGAGGGGAUGAGGUUUACUGCGCCUCCAGGGUGGAACUGAGAACGUGUAGUCAGCAGCGGGCGUCGGUCCCUAAAUUAGUCGGCCUCUCCCCACAGCCUGCAGCUUUAGACCUUGUCCCCAGGCUAUGCUCACCCCGCCUCGCGCCUUCCUGCUGACUGGUUCUCCUUCACGCUCCAAGAGUCCCACACGUUUGACUCACAACUCUCCACCCCCACCCCACCACUGUUAACACUGCUAAGGAAUUUAGCGAUCAGACACCCUCCUUGUUCCACACUCUGAGCCAAAAGCCCUGCUGUUUACUUCAAGGAGGAAAUGAAGGCAAUUUGACAAAAGGCUUCACCUUCUGCCUACUGCACCCUCCAUGCUCUGGAUCUUUCUGUUCAGGUGCUGCCUACACUUCUGUUCCUUGGAUACCCAUCCUAUACCUCACAUGCAGCACCAGGAUGCCUCCCCAGGAUACUUCCCAGUUGUCUACUGCUACAGUCAUCUCCUGGGAGUCUUGGAACACAUCCCUAGAAGAUAAGGGAGAAGCAGUAUAGUAAGACAUACGUUGACAGAUGUAAAAACCUCAGUGCAACUUAAGCAGGAUUAAUACAAAGAAAAUAAUAAGUAGGCAUAUCACAGCCCAGCUCUGGCAAUGCGAAGAUAAAGGGAGACUUUUAAAGCUGUCAGAGGGGUAGUCAUGCGGUAACCACAGGAACAGAAUCUGAGCAGCACAGAUUUCCCAUCAGAAGGAACAAUGGCAUCUUACAGGACUGAAAGAAAAACUUCCUGCCAGCCAGAUUUCUGUGUCUACUGGAAAUACUCAUCAGAGAUAAAGGGUCUCUUCUGUGUUUUUCCUGCUGCUGCUGUUGCCACUGCUGAUUCAGACAGACAGACAGAUGGAGCAGCUUCAGACUGACAGAGGGACCCGAAUUAACUUGAAAUAAAGACUCUGCUUUUACAUCUGGUUGGACCUCAGACGUGUUCUCACACAGCUGAAGGAAUGGAAGAGCAAAACAAUGCUGAGUCUACUUCCUCCUUCCCUCGAGCCCUCUGUCUUGCUGUGUGGCUUAGGUUGGCCUGGAGCUCACUACUUGGUCGAGUUGUCCUUCAGGUCAAGAGUUUCUUACUUUGGCCUCCUGCAUGCUGGAAUCAUAGGCCAAGCCAGUUCUUUAUUCAUCAACCAAUAAAAGCAACACAUAGACAGAAGGACCUCCCACACCAAACAGAGAAUGAAGAAACAAUGGGCAAACAGAAAAGGUGGGAUCAAGUGGACUGUGGGCUCUGGUGGAGAUACACCAGCAGCAGCCUGGAGACAGCCGGUUCACUGUGUACAGCAUGAGCAAGGAGGACGCAGGUUCUAAUCUCUGUAUGAGGUUUCUGUAGGGCAGCAUUCCCAGGUUGCUAUCAUCCAGGAGGAGAAAGCUGUGGCUAGCAGUUUCUGCAUACACUUGUUUGUUUUAGCUAAAGGUUCAUAAAUAUCUGUAUUGGGACCAGAGGAAAGCUUUGCCAUUACUCUGAGCCUGACCCGGGGAGGGCUUUGCUGUUCUUGGAGAUAUUGAGGCAUUGGGUUUCUUGACAUGAUUGUGUUCAUGUCAGCUAUACACAUCACUUAGGACUUCAUCUGUUCUCCACAGGUCAUGAUUUAUUAUCCUUUUAAUGUAUUUAUUGAGUCUAUCAACUCUUUAUUAAUUAAUUUUAUAUUUUGUUCAUAAGAGAUAUUGGUCUGUAAUUUUCUUCUAUCCUUACCACAUAUUGCCUUGAAAGACCACCUAAUUCGUAUACUAAACUCCCAUUUCUGGAUUUCAUGUUGCAGUUUGUCUCAUUGGCAUCUGUCUUCCCUGGGAUCUCUCAGCAGCUUCACUGUUAGACAUUAGGAGUUAGACAUUAGGACUGUUUCCUGCCUCUGCUAUUCCAACAAGGCGCAGGAGACAAACUGCAAACUGUGGUAUCAAUUUUGUAAUGUCUUUUCCUACUCCACAGUCAUACCCAUAGGAAGCAUCCUUCCAAGUUGAAUAGCUAGGUCAGUGGGGAAACAUAAUUUUAAGGACCUAGCCAUUUUAUCAGCCAAUGUCUCAUCAGGAAAUUAGAAAUGGUACUAAUUGUUUUAACCAGGGGACUUAAUUUAAGGAAUAAUUGCUAUUGUUAGAAGAGCUGAAGGAGCAAAAUUAGAAGGUAAAAUAAGCCUGAGGGCAGUGACUUCAGGAAAUUACUAUUAACCCUACGACUAUAGGAAUAGGGAGGAGCUGGUUUUACUAGGGCCCUGAAAGCACUCAUUGCUGCCCCUGAUGAAGACAGUGCCUGCUGCUGGAACCAGUGGCAAUGUACACUCCAUGGUGGCACACUGCAUAAGGACCUUACUAUCAACAAUGGACUGCACAUAUGCCAGGGUCCCAGAAAUUAUAGUGAAGAUGAAAAGCCCUUUAUGCUUGGUGCCUCUCCAAGCAUAAUAACAUCAUCACAAGACAAGGCAUUUCUCUUUGUGGUGAUUCUGAUGUAAGCACACAUAUUGGGUGUCCAGUGCUAUAAAAGAAGAGCAUGCACCAUUAUUCAUGCCAUGUACUGCUUGAUCGUGAUAGCAAAUAAAGAUCCUGGUGGUUUUAUGUAUUCA